GACGAACGCUGGCGGCGUGCUUAACACAUGCACGUCGAACGGAAAGGCCCUGCUUUUGUGGGGUGCUCGAGUGGCGAACGGGUGAGUAACACGUGAGUAACCUGCCCUUGACUUUGGGAUAACUUCAGGAAACUGGGGCUAAUACCGGAUAGGAGCUCCUGCUGCAUGGUGGGGGUUGGAAAGUUUCGGCGGUUGGGGAUGGACUCGCGGCUUAUCAGCUUGUUGGUGGGGUAGUGGCUUACCAAGGCUUUGACGGGUAGCCGGCCUGAGAGGGUGACCGGCCACAUUGGGACGGAGAUACGGCCCAGACUCCUACGGGAGGCAGCAGUGGGGAAUAUUGCACAAUGGGCGGAAGCCUGAUGCAGCAACGCCGCGUGCGGGAUAAAGGCCUUCGGGUUGUAAACCGCUAGCGCCUGUGACGAAGCGUGAGGGAGGGUAAUGGGUGUAGAAUGACCGGCUAACUACGUG
This 468-nucleotide ribosomal RNA is filed under the name uncultured bacterium. Its description in RNAcentral is "partial 16S ribosomal RNA". It matches the Rfam family "Bacterial small subunit ribosomal RNA", at positions 28 to 507 of the family's 1533-position model. The record is from RNAcentral.